GACGAACGCUGGCGACGCGCUUAACACAUGCAAGUCGAACGGAAAGGCCUGCUUUCCCUUGUGGAUUGCGGGUACUCGAGUGGCGAACGGGUGAGUAACACGUGAGUGAUCUGCCCCCAACUUGGGUAUAAGCCUGGGAAACUGGGUCUAAUUCCCGAUAGGACUGCAGGGUGGUGCCUGUGGUGGAAAACGAUUUUCUAGUGGUUGGGGAUGAGCUCGCGGCCUAUCAGCUUGUUGGUGGGGUAAUGGCCUACCAAGGCGGCGACGGGUAGCCGGCCUGAGAGGGUGGACGGCCACAUUGGGACUGAGAUACGGCCCAGACUCCUACGGGAGGCAGCAGUGGGGAAUAUUGCACAAUGGGCGGAAGCCUGAUGCAGCGACGCCGCGUGGGGGAUGACGGCCUUCGGGUUGUAAACUCCUUUCGACCGCGAGGAAGCCACCUGGCUGGAAGGGUGGUGACGGUAGUGGUAGAAGAAGCACCGGCUAACUACGUG
Molecule: ribosomal RNA, 494 nt
Filed under: uncultured bacterium
Lineage: Bacteria
Description: partial 16S ribosomal RNA
Rfam family: Bacterial small subunit ribosomal RNA
Source: RNAcentral